Molecule: non-coding RNA, 225 nt
Organism: Paramuricea clavata
Lineage: Eukaryota; Metazoa; Cnidaria; Anthozoa; Malacalcyonacea; Plexauridae
Source: the annotation of a GenBank genome assembly
UUUCCUGGCCAUACCAAUACAUAUGCCCACAUACAAAUAACUCAAAAGUUAUCUCCAUAUACUAAUAAAAAAGGGUCUUGCAGUCCACCAACCUUGAGAGGUUGAUUGCCUUUUAGUAUAAUAUGCAGGUUUGCUAAAGGUCGACAGUGAGAUUGAAAAUUAUUGGAGUGUAAAAACCUUAUAUAUUAUAUCAUGGUCUGUGGGCAAUAGACAUAAUUUCUCGGG